CCAUCAUUCAGUUGGGCACUCUAGCGAGACUGCCGGUAUAAACCGGAGGAAGUGGGGAUGACGUCAAAUCAUCAUGCCCCUUAUGACCUGGGCUACACACGUGCUACAAUGGUUGGUACAACGAGUUGCGAGUCGGUGACGGCGAGCUAAUCUCUUAAAGCCAAUCUCAGUUCGGAUUGUAGGCUGCAACUCGCCUACAUGAAGUCGGAAUCGCUAGUAAUCGCGGAUCAGCACGCCGCGGUGAAUACGUUCCCGGGCCUU
RNAcentral lists this ribosomal RNA (261 nucleotides) under uncultured Streptococcus sp. RNAcentral describes it as "partial 16S ribosomal RNA". It matches the Rfam family "Bacterial small subunit ribosomal RNA", at positions 1118 to 1382 of the family's 1533-position model. The record is from RNAcentral. Lineage: Bacteria; Bacillati; Bacillota; Bacilli; Lactobacillales; Streptococcaceae.